Long non-coding RNA from Corticium candelabrum, 208 nucleotides. RefSeq lists it as uncharacterized. The record is from RefSeq and is a predicted model, not a curated record. The transcript is spliced from 3 exons. NCBI's taxonomy places the organism in Eukaryota, Metazoa, Porifera, Homoscleromorpha, Homosclerophorida, Plakinidae.
UAUAGAAACGAGCAGAUCUUCAAACAACUCCAUGUUUCGCCUAUUUCAAUGCAUAGACAGGUAGUGCUGCUUUUCCGGGGCCACGUGCAUGUACACCGAGUUUCAGAAGAAUGCAACGCUUUAUGAAAUGAAUGCUGCAUGGCCAUGGGUGGCUACUCUUGCAGUCUGCAAGUCCGCUCACUUACCUGACGCUUAAGGUUGACUACAG